ACCAAAACUGCUGGCUGUAAAGUCACAACUGCUGGCUGUAGAACCACAACUGCUGGCUGAGAAGCCAUAACUGCUGGCUGUAGAACCAAAACUGCUGGUUGUAGAACCACAACUGCUGUCUUUAGAGCCACAACUGCUGUCUGAAGAACCACAACUGCUAGUUGAAGAACCACAACUGCUGUCUGUAGAGCCACAACUGCUGGCUCAGGAACCACAACUGCUGGCUUUAGAGCCACAACUGCUGGCUGAAGAACCACAACUGCUGGUUGUAGAACCACAACCGCUGGCUGAAGAACCACAACUGCUGGCUGAUAAGCCACAACUGCUGUCUGAAGAACCACAACUGCUGGCUGAGAAGCUAUAACUGCUGGCUGUAAAGCCACAACUGCUGGCUGAGAAACCACAACUGCUGGUUGUAAAGCCACAACUGCUGACUGUAGAACCACAACUGCUGGCUCAGGAACCACAACUGCUGUCUGAAGAACCACAACUGCUGUCUAAAGAACCACAACUGCUGGCUGAGAAGCCACAACUGCUGGCUGAAGAACCACAACUGCUGGCUGUGAAGCCACAACUGCUGGCUGUAGAACCACAACUGCUGGCUGAGAAGCCAUAACUGCUGGCUGUAGAACCACAACUGCUGGCUGAGAAGCCACAACUGCUGUCUAAAGAACCACAACUGCUGGCUGUGAAGCCACAACUGCUGGCUUUGGAGCCACAACUGCUGGCUGUAGAACCACAACUGCUGGCUGAGAAGCCACAACUGCUGUCUGAAGAACCACAACUGCUGGCUUUGGAGCCACAACUGCUGGCUGAGAAACAACAACAGCUGGCUGUGGAACCACAUUUACUGGCUGUAGAACCACAACUGCUGGCUUUAGAGCCACAACUGCUGGCUGAGGAACCACAACUGCUGUCUGUAGAACAACAACUGCUGUCUGUAGAACCACAACUGCUGGUUGUAGAACCACAACUGCUGGUUGUAGAACCACAACUGCCUGUCAGACCAUCGGACCAGAACCACAGGAAGCUCCAGCACAUCGUACACUGUGUUGUAAAUGACAGUAGAUGAGAGGAGACUAUUAGACCAGCACCAGCGCAUCAUGUGUCACACAUCAGCUCUACAUCAACUUCUGCUGCUCAAAUAUCCUCACCAGUGCAGUCCAACAACCACAGAAGAUCCCUGUCCAUGGUAUUAAAGAGAUGAUCUUGAGGAGACCCCCCAGAUCUUCAGUCACGUGGACUGUAGUCUGUUUCAUUUAAACACCAAUAAACUUGAAUUCUAGACAUUUCA
Long non-coding RNA from Trichomycterus rosablanca, 1294 nucleotides. RefSeq lists it as uncharacterized. The record is from RefSeq and is a predicted model, not a curated record. The transcript is spliced from 2 exons. NCBI's taxonomy places the organism in Eukaryota, Metazoa, Chordata, Actinopteri, Siluriformes, Trichomycteridae.